RNAcentral lists this ribosomal RNA (738 nucleotides) under Carcharhinus acronotus (blacknose shark). RNAcentral's name for it is "partial small subunit ribosomal RNA". It matches the Rfam family "Bacterial small subunit ribosomal RNA", at positions 482 to 1522 of the family's 1533-position model. Lineage: Eukaryota; Metazoa; Chordata; Chondrichthyes; Carcharhiniformes; Carcharhinidae. The record is from RNAcentral.
AGUUAACAGAGUUGGUUAAUCUCGUGCCAGCCACCGCGGUUAUACGAGUAACUCACAUUAACACACCCCGGCGUAAAGAGUGAUUAAAGAAUGACCUUUAACUACUAAAGUUUAGACCUCAUAAAACUGUUAUACGUAUUCAUGAGUGGAAUAAACAACAACGAAAGUGACUUUACAAACUAAGGAACCUUGAUGUCACGACAGUUGGGACCCAAACUAGGAUUAGAUACCCUACUAUGCUCAACCACAAACUUAAACAACAUCCUACUAUAUUGUUCGCCAGAGUACUACAAGCGCUAGCUUAAAACCCAAAGGACUUGGCGGUAUCCCAUACCCACCUAGAGGAGCCUGUUCUAUAACCGAUAAUCCCCGUUCAACCUCACCACUUCUUGCCAUUACCGUCUAUAUACCGCCGUCGUCAGCCCACCCUGUGAAGGACUAAAAGUAAGCAAAAAGAAUAAAACUCCAAAACGUCAGGUCGAGGUGUAGCAAAUGAAGUGGGAAGAAAUGGGCUACAUUUUCUUCUAAAAAUAUACGAAUGGUAAACUGAAAACACACCUAAAGGUGGAUUUAGCAGUAAGAGGAGAUCAGAACGCUCCUCUGAAACCGGCUCUGGGAUAAGCACACACCGCCCGUCACUCUCCUCAAAAACAACUUACCCCUUUCCAUAAAUACAUUCCUUCAAUAAGAGGAGGCAAGUCGUAACAUGGUAAGUGUACUGGAAAGUGCACUUGGAAU